Molecule: ribosomal RNA, 120 nt
Filed under: uncultured bacterium
Lineage: Bacteria
Description: partial 16S ribosomal RNA
Rfam family: Bacterial small subunit ribosomal RNA
Source: RNAcentral
CACGCCGUAAACGGUGGGUACUAGGUGUGGGGAACAUUCCACGUUCUCUGUGCCGUAGCUAACGCAUUAAGUACCCCGCCUGGGGAGUACGGCCGCAAGGCUAAAACUCAAAGGAAUUGA